Nematostella vectensis (starlet sea anemone) is the source of this 684-nucleotide long non-coding RNA. RefSeq lists it as uncharacterized. The transcript has 3 exons. NCBI's taxonomy places the organism in Eukaryota, Metazoa, Cnidaria, Anthozoa, Actiniaria, Edwardsiidae. The record is from RefSeq and is a predicted model, not a curated record.
GUUCGAAAUAUCGCACUCUUACGAAAAAUAUCUCUCUUUUUUUACGAGAAAUAGAGUAAAAUCACUCUAAUUUGGACUCUACUAUGGCAGUAGAGAAUGUCAAUAAGAAUAGUGGACAUGAGAAAAAGGGAUGCGCUAAGCAUGUUACACCUGAAUCUGAAAAAAAGGAAGGAGUAGAAACAAAAGAAACAUAAGACCAUAAUACUAAUAAAAAGUGUUAAACAGACACUAAAAAUUGAAGUAUAUUGGAUCACCUCAUCAAGCUGAAAGUUCAUUCUUUUUUACAUGGGACACCAUUUCUAGUUGAAAAUUCAUUCUCAUACAUAUAAGUCACCCUCUGCUAGCUGAGGAUCCAUUCUCUAACAAAAUCUUAAAUGGAAAAUGAGGCAAAGAAUUUACAAUUUACAUGCUGUAAACCAGCAUGCAUUGACUAUAACUGAGCAUGCUUGAUAAAAAUGUACUUUAUUGAAACUUGCUCAAUUUUCUUAUUUGGUAGAUCUAGUGUAUUAAGCACACUUUACUUAAGUAUCAUAUAACAGAGAUGACGUUAUUGAUAUUGAUUAUUUGUAAAACCAUAUAAGGUCAUGGCGUAUGCCAAAAGUUGUAAAUACUGUGAUUAAAGAUCAGUCUAUAUUCGCAAACCAAAGCGUGCGGUUGUGUUAACUGACUCCAAUGAAUAUAUAG